RNAcentral lists this ribosomal RNA (1458 nucleotides) under Triticum aestivum (bread wheat). RNAcentral's name for it is "partial small subunit ribosomal RNA". The record is from RNAcentral. Lineage: Eukaryota; Viridiplantae; Streptophyta; Magnoliopsida; Poales; Poaceae.
AUGGUGAAGUUUGGUGAUGCCACCUACACCGAGGAGAGAGCUGUCGAGAAGCUUUUUCGGUGCAUUCCCGAGAAGUACAAGCAGAUGGCUCGCUCGAUCGAGUCGUUGUUGGACCUCUCCACGAUGACGAUCGAGGAGGCGAUAGGCCGUCUCAAGGUCGAGGAAGAGACGGCUCUGUUCAUGGCGCAUGCAAGCAUUGAGCUAUCCUCAGCGACACCAGUCGCAAAAGCUCUCAUCCACCUCGACGAGCCAAAAGCACACGCUCUUCUCGGCGAUGGCUCCGGGAAGGACAAGACUACGGGGUGGUGCCUCGACACCGGCGCCACCCACCACAUGACCGGUCGAAGGGAAUUCUUCGCCGAGCUCGACUCCGAUGCGCGAGGCUUCGUCAAGUUUGGGGAUGCCUCCGCUGUGGAAAUUAAGGGCGUCGGCUCCGUCAUCUUCACCACCAAGGCGGGAGAGCACCGGCUGCUCACCGGUGUCUACUACAUCCCCGCGCUAAGGAACUCCAUCAUCAGCUUGGGACAGCUGGAUGAGAACGGCUCACGCGUGCUGAUUGAGCAUGGGGUCCUAUGCAUCUGGGAUCGCCAGGGUCGCCUUCUCGCCAAGGUACCCAGAGGUGGAAAUCGACUUUACGUCCUUGAUGUGCAGGUGGCACAACCGGUCUGUCUCGCUGUCCGUCGGGACGAUGAGGCGUGGCAAUGGCAUGAGCGCUUUGGGCACCUUCAUUUUGAGGCCCUGAAGCGUCUAAGUGCCAAGGAGAUGGUGCGAGGCCUGCCAUGCCUCGACCAUGUGGAGCAGUUCUGCAACAUCUGCGUGAUGACGAAGCAGAGACGACUCCCCUUUCCCCAACAGGUGAGUUUUCGGGCCAAGGAGAGGCUGGAGCUCGUGCACGGAGACCUGUGCGGCCCGGUGACGCCAGCCACACCAGGAGGUCGACGCUACUUCCUGCUGCUCGUCGACGAUCUCUCCCGUUACAUGUGGGUGAUGAUCCUCGGCAGUAAGGGAGAGGCGGCGGACGCCAUCAGGCGCGCGCAGGUUGGUGUGGAGGCGGAGAGCGGCCGCAAAUUGCGCGUGUUGCGCACUGACAACGGCGGCGAAUUCACGGCGGCUGAAUUCGCGUCGUACUGCGCCGAUGAGGGCAUCCAGCGCCACUACUCCGCGCCGUACAGCCCGCAGCAAAACAGCGUCGUCGAGCGGCGCAACCAGACGGUUGUGGGGAUGGCUCGAGCUCUCCUCAAGCAGAGAGGGAUGCCGGCUGUCUUCUGGGGAGAGGCAGUGCUAACAGCCGUCUACAUCCUAAACCGCUCGCCUACCAAGGCACUCGACGGCAGGACAGCGUACGAGGCCUGGCAUGGGCGGAAGCCGGCGGUCUCCCACUUGCGGGUCUUUGGCUGCCUUGCGUUCGCCAAGGAGCUCGGUCACAUCGGCAAGCUCGACGACAGGAGCACUCCGUGA